CCUACGGGGGGCUGCAGUGGGGAAUAUUGGACAAUGGGGGCAACCCUGAUCCAGCCAUGCCGCGUGUGUGAAGAAGGCCCUCGGGUUGUAAAGCACUUUCAGUGAGGAAGAACGCCUGGUGGUUAAUACCCAUCAGGAAAGACAUCACUCACAGAAGAAGCACCGGCUAACUCCGUGCCAGCAGCCGCGGUAAUACGGAGGGUGCGAGCGUUAAUCGGAAUUACUGGGCGUAAAGCGCGCGUAGGUGGCUUGAUAAGCCGGUUGGGAAAGCCCCGGGCUCAACCUGGGAACGGCAUCCGGAACUGUCAAGCUAGAGUGCAGGAGAGGAAGGUAGAAUUCCCGGUGUAGCGGUGAAAUGCGUAGAGAUCGGGAGGAAUACCAGUGGCGAAGGCGGCCUUCUGGACUGACACUGACACUGAGGUGCGAAAGCGUGGGUAGCAAACAGGAUUAGAUACCCUGGUAGUC
Molecule: ribosomal RNA, 465 nt
Filed under: Vreelandella stevensii
Lineage: Bacteria; Pseudomonadati; Pseudomonadota; Gammaproteobacteria; Oceanospirillales; Halomonadaceae
Description: partial 16S ribosomal RNA
Rfam family: Bacterial small subunit ribosomal RNA
Source: RNAcentral